GUUUAAUCGGAUUAUGGCACGUAAACGUCAGAUUAGGAAUUUAGACCACUGUUCGAUCAUGGGUUUGUGCGAUUUUAAGCAGAUGAUGCAGAAGCAGUUUUGUUUUGAUCAAAAAUGGACUUAGGCAACUUGCAUCUUAGAACGACGAUACGGAAUUCCGAAAAAUGAUGUCUCUACCAGCAAUCAGUGAUCCUUUAAUGGUCUUCAAUUGACUAUUCAGUUGAAAACUACCUAUGAGAAUGCCAACUAUGGAAUACCUAUUGAACAGCAACCAGGUUAUGAGAAAUGUCGUCUUGCCAACAAACGAAGGAAUAAAUAUUGAGUUUAACAAACUGA
Molecule: long non-coding RNA, 336 nt
Organism: Dendroctonus ponderosae (mountain pine beetle)
Lineage: Eukaryota; Metazoa; Arthropoda; Insecta; Coleoptera; Curculionidae
Exons: 2
Source: RefSeq, a predicted model, not a curated record